UGUAAUCAGCGGUGGGGUCAUUUCAUUAGUGCCUGGGGACAGGACACGCCGGGGAGGCAGGUGAGGGGUGAGGCUGGAGCGUGUGUCCGGCUGCAGGGACACACCUGCUGCACCCCGGAGAGAGGGAAGGGAGAGGGACGGACCCGCGCGGGGACACGCGACAGCAGCGCUCAGCCCGGCCCCAGGGUGACUUUAGCCAUAAAAAACAGGGAGCCCAGGUGGAAAACAACUCGUUCUUCAGCGUGGGCCUGUCCACCAAGGGCCCUGUUCUCUGCUGCAGCAGGGACAGAGGACACCCCUCUCUUGCUGUCAGCAGUGGAGCUGCAGAUCCCCCCAGCACCUGUGUGCCCUUUGCACUUCGUGUUGCUGCUUGGUUUUUUAAGUUGGGCCUUUCUGCUGGUGAAAUGUUGCUUUUAUCCAACACCCUUUCCACAAGUACAGCACCUCCCCUCCCUGAACAAUUUCAGCCAGAAGCCAAGAGAACGUAGACACUCA
This is a long non-coding RNA of Pseudopipra pipra, 495 nucleotides long. RefSeq lists it as uncharacterized. The transcript is spliced from 2 exons. The record is from RefSeq and is a predicted model, not a curated record. Lineage: Eukaryota; Metazoa; Chordata; Aves; Passeriformes; Pipridae.